AGGGAUAUAGCUCAAUGGUAGAGUGAUUGCCUACUGUGCAUUAGGCCCUGGGUUGAAUCCCCAGCACUGCCA
Molecule: non-coding RNA, 72 nt
Organism: Ictidomys tridecemlineatus (thirteen-lined ground squirrel)
Lineage: Eukaryota; Metazoa; Chordata; Mammalia; Rodentia; Sciuridae
Source: Rfam